This is a long non-coding RNA of Antechinus flavipes (yellow-footed antechinus), 838 nucleotides long. RefSeq lists it as uncharacterized. Lineage: Eukaryota; Metazoa; Chordata; Mammalia; Dasyuromorphia; Dasyuridae. The transcript has 3 exons. The record is from RefSeq and is a predicted model, not a curated record.
AACGUGAGAAUGAACAUCAAAGACCCAUGGGAUUACUCUUUCAUGGAACUGGAGUGGUCAAUCCUUCCAUGCUUUCUCUCCCAGCUGGACCACUUAGUCUCAAGAAUAAGAAGCAAUCAAUUUUUAAAAGUUGCCAAGGGAAGAAACAAUAAAGGUACCUGCUAUUCUGGCCUUAACUUCCCAAGCAUAACAAAUAGGCUGAUGAUACAGAAGUGACAAGAAAGCAAAGGUCCUGCACAUUACCCAACACACAAAGCACGUAAGGAUGUAAAUGAUGUCCCAGAAAGCCAAGAGAACUUAUCUGAAAACUACUAUCAAUAGUGGUGGAGAAAUCAUGGACAACAGGAAAAGUGCCAAAAGAUGGAAGAUUAGAAAAUUUUGCUUCUGCUUUAAAAUAGGGUAUAUUUCAGAAAUCACACAUUGGUAUGACUUGAUCUUCAUCCUCAAAAAAAGAGAUGUUACAAUGAAUUCUUGAAUGGAUAUUUGAGGGAAUUGAGAAAAAAAAUGAGAUUUCUUAAGGGCUUAUUAUGCCACAAUAAUCUUUCUUUGAGUAGGAUUACUAGAGUGGUUAGAUCAAGAGACUAGAGCAAUAUUUUGAUUUAAUUAAAGUAUUUGAUAAUGUCUUUCAUUAAAUCAUUGUGAAUGAAUAGCAUGAUAAAAUGUGAGUUUAGCACAGGGAAGUGAAUUUGCAGUUUGCUGCAUACCUAUACUAAAGAACAUUGAUUGGUGAUAUGGAAUCAAACUGAAGUGAAGUUUCUAAUAAAGAAGCACUGUCAUCUCUUUUUGACCUUAUCAUUUAAAAAUUUUAUCUACUAAACUAUAAAUAUCAUAAAGGCAG